GCGAGAUUAAAACUCAAAGGAAUAGACGGGGACCCGCACAAGUGGUGGAGCAUGUGGUUUAAUUCGAAGAUACGCGAAGAACCUUACCUAGCCUUGACAUUGAUAGAAUCUUCCAGAGAUGGAGGAGUGCCUUUCGGGGAACUUGAAAACAGGUGCUGCACGGCUGUCGUCAGCUCGUGUCGUGAGAUGUUGGGUUAAGUCCCGCAACGAGCGCAACCCUCGUCACUAGUUACUAACAGUUAGGCUGAGGACUCUAGUGAGACUGCCUUCGUAAGGAGGAGGAAGGUGAGGACGACGUCAAGUCAUCAUGGCCCUUACGGCUAGGGCAACACACGUGCUACAAUGGUUAGGACAGUGAGAAGCGAUACCGCGAGGUGGAGCCAAUCUAUAAACCUAAUCUCAGUUCGGAUUGUAGUCUGCAACUCGACUACAUGAAGCUGGAAUCACUAGUAAUCGUAGAUCAGCCAUGCUACGGUGAAUACGUUCCCGGGUCUUGUACUCACCGCCCGUCACACCAUGGGAGUUGAUUUCACCCGAAGCGGGGAAGCUAAACUGGCUACCCUCCACGGUGGAAUUAGCGACUGGGGUGAAGUCGUAACAAGGUA
This 605-nucleotide ribosomal RNA is filed under the name uncultured bacterium. RNAcentral describes it as "bacterial SSU rRNA". It matches the Rfam family "Bacterial small subunit ribosomal RNA", at positions 888 to 1498 of the family's 1533-position model. The record is from RNAcentral.